AGUGAACGCUGGCGGUAGGCCUAACACAUGCAAGUCGAACGGCAGCACAGUAAGAGCUUGCUCUUACGGGUGGCGAGUGGCGGACGGGUGAAGAAUACAUCGGAAUCUACUUUUUCGUGGGGGAUAACGUAGGGAAACUUACGCUAAUACCGCAUACGACCUACGGGUGAAAGCAGGGGAUCUUCGGACCUUGCGCGAUUGAAUGAGCCGAUGUCGGAUUAGCUAGUUGGCGGGGUAAAGGCCCACCAAGGCGACGAUCCGUAGCUGGUCUGAGAGGAUGAUCAGGCACACUGGAACUGAGACACGGUCCAGACUCCUACGGGAGGCAGCAGUGGGGAAUAUUGGACAAUGGGCGAAAGCCUGAUACAGCCAUACCGCGUGGGUGAAGAAGGCCUUCGGGUUGUAAAGCCCUUUUGUUGGGAAAGAAAAGCAGCAGGUUAAUACCCCGCUGUUCUGACGGUACCCAAAGAAUAAGCACCGGCUAACUUCGUG
Molecule: ribosomal RNA, 492 nt
Filed under: uncultured bacterium
Lineage: Bacteria
Description: partial 16S ribosomal RNA
Rfam family: Bacterial small subunit ribosomal RNA
Source: RNAcentral